GUGGGGAAUUUUGCGCAAUGGGGGGAACCCUGACGCAGCAACGCCGCGUGAGUGACGACGCCGUUCGCGGUGUAAAGCUCUGUUGGUGGGGACGAAGGCCUCUGUGUGAAGAGCAUGGGGGGAUGACGGUACCUGCUGAGGAAGCCCCGGCUAACUCCGUGCCAGCAGCCGCGGUAAGACGGAGGGGGCGAGCGUUGUUCGGAAUUACUGGGCGUAAAGCGCCCGUAGGCGGUGGCUUACGUGGGCAGUGAAAACCCUGGGCUUAACUCAGGCAGGGCUGUUCAAACGGAGUCACUGGAGUGCCGGAGGGGGAGGCGGAAUGCCUGGUGGAGCGGUGAAAUGCGUAGAGAUCAGGCAGAACGUCGGUGGCGAAGGCGGCCUCCUGGACGGACACUGACGCUGAGGGGCGACAGCGUGGGGAGCGAACGGGAUUAGAAACCCUAGUAGUCC
Molecule: ribosomal RNA, 450 nt
Filed under: uncultured bacterium
Lineage: Bacteria
Description: bacterial SSU rRNA
Rfam family: Bacterial small subunit ribosomal RNA
Source: RNAcentral